AUAACCUUAUUUAUUAUUAUGUUGCUUUUAAAUUUUUGUGCCUUAGGGCUUUUAAUAAAAUAUGGUACUACAUAAGCACUGAAUUAACGAUUGAGGCAAAAAGCAUCUAUAGUAUUGGUUAAUCACCUAGUGACUCCUCAUAUAAGCCACUUUUUUUAAAUAAUUUUCUUUAACCCUUUACCGCAUCAUGUGCCAUAUAUGACCCAAACUACAAAAAUAUAAAAAUAUUGUCAAAAAUUAAGUUAUAUUCCUUUACUGCAUACUGUAUCAUAUUUGGAACGUACCCGCUUACACAGCAAAAUGUACACAUCGAUAGUAUUGUUCAAUUAUAGGACAGUUAUUUCGCGUCAGAGACUGCCGCCCGCUAUUUCAUGUUAUGCAACAGCUGAUUGAUACGUUUUGUUUGCAAGUUUUUUGUUUCUUAAAAUUAUAAUAUUAUCGAAAAAAAAUUAUUGGCAUUACGGGUGAAGUGUAAGCUGUCUUAUACGUUAUGGACACAAAGAAAUUUUAUGGUACUCUACAACAUGUAGCUAAUAUAGACUCCGAUGAAAGUGAUGAUCCAGAUUUAUCUGGCGACAAAGCUGAAAGUUGUGAAAAAUGAUCCAGAUUCAGAAUCCAACUAUUCAUCUGAUGACGAUAUGCCCCUAUUAGAAAUUCGAAAACGAAUAUUGAAUGGCACGAAGGUAAUCUAUUGAAAAACUAUAACGAAAUUCAAUUUAGAGGUUGUCAGGAUCUUCCGGAUUCGAUUCGUACGCUUGCAACUCCAGUAGAAUACUUCAAAUUCCUUUUCCCAAAAGAGCUCAUAAGUUACAUUACAGAGCAAAGUAAUUUGUAUAAUAUCCAGUGUCAACCACACAAGCCGGUCCAUACAAAAAGUCAUGAGAUUGAACAGUUCAUUGGAAUUUGCAUUUUGACUUCUCUAAUACAGUUGCCUUCUACAAGAGAUUAUUGGAAUGGUUCAUUAGGCCAUCCUGCUGUUUCUGAGGUUAUGUGCUGCAAUAGAUUUGAGACAAAAAAACACUUUAUUCAUUUUAAUGACAAUAAUCAAAUGAUCCAAAGAGGUCAACCAGGUCACGAUAAGUUAUUCAAAAUUAGACCUUUUCUUACCCAAAUAAGAGAAAGACUACUAUUGGUACCACGUGAGGAACAUCUUGCUAUAGUCAAAGUCAAAAAUAGCUUUAUUGUUACGUAACAUCAUCUGUUGUUAACAAAGCAUUAUAUAAAACCUUAAAGAUAGUUGACAACAUAAUCUUUUACCAAAAUAUAAAAAUUUUAACAAUUCUUACAUACAUAGAAUAUAGAACACACCCAAAGAAAGGGUAGUAAGAAUUCACAUUAUGCUGCGCAAAACUUUUCACUGUCAAAAAAUUGUAUUUAAAAACUUGUCUAGAGAAUAAAAUGCUUCCACUUUAUUAGCCAAUCUAGUCACAAUUUAUUAACCUUAUAUAAAGGGGUAGGUGGUUAAAAAGCCUUCUGCCCCCGUACACAAAAGAGGACUUAAUCUGCUCACUUUUUGGGAUAGGCAGAGGUAAAGAGAAGGUUGUUCGGAGAUUGUAACCCGAGGAGGGGGGGCCAAGCUGAUGGCGAUAUUUUUUGUGGAUAAGACAAACAGUCUCUAAAAUAAAAAGGCAUGACAAUGUCAGGACAUAGUGUUUUAAAAAUAAUGGCCUACAGGAGCUACGAAAGGGAGCUGCACACAUGUAGCGUAUGGCUCUUUUUUGCAAAAUAAAUAGAGAGCUGUAUAAAUACUGAGAGCAAACACCCCAAAACACAAUACCGUAUCUCAGAUGAGACUCAAUAAGAGCAUGGUAGGCAAUCAAGUCCUAGAGAAUGUGUUAUUACUCUAAUAGCAUAACAGUUGGAUGAUAACUUCCCUAUUAAAGAGGAGAUAUGAUUUUCAAAUUUUAAUUACUCAUCAAUUGUCAAGCCCAAAAAUUUGCAUGUUUCAGAAGGACUUAUUGUUUUAUUUUGCAAAGUGACAGUUCCAAGGUUACAUUUAAAAGUUAAAAUAUUAGUUUUAGAAAUAUUAAAAGUUAAUCUAUUAGAUUCACACCAUAACUUUACAAGAAUUAAAUGUUCAUCAAUGAUAUUCCUUAAUCUCUUGGUGUCAGUGUCAUGCCAAAGUAAUGUUGUAUCAUCCGUAAAGAUAGUAAAUUUGCCCCUAAUUGGAAUUUGAGAGAUAUCAUUGACAUAUAGCAGGAACAAUAUUGGUCCAAGAACAGAACCCUGGGGUACAUCAGCAUCCAUAUCCAGACGGGAUGACAUAUCAUUGUCAAAGAAUACCCUUUGUGUUCUUCCAGAUAGGUAAGAACGAAACCAGUCGAGAGCAACUCCUCUGAAUCCAUAGGUUUCUAGCUUCUGCAGCAGUAUUUUGUGACUUACACAGUCAAACGCCUUAGAUAAGUCACAGAACACCUCCGCCGCACUCUCCCCAUUUUCAAUUUUUUGGAGAGUCUGUAGAUGGGGUUGAAUCCCAUGUACAGACUCUCCAAAAAAUUGAAAAUAGCAUCAGAUAUACCCAGUUUCGUCCGGAAUCCAAAUUGCUGAUGGUUAAGAACAUUAUGCCGUUUCAGAAAUUCCAUCAUCCUAGUUUUUACCAAUCUUUCUACAAGCUUGUCAAGCGUGGGAAGUAGGGCUAUGAGUCUGAAAUUUGAUGGGUCAUCAUAGUUUUCAGCCUUAAAUAAUGGUAUAAUCAAGGCAUCCUUGAGUAAAUGUGGAAAGGACCCACUUGAAAGUGAAAUAUUUAUCACCUCAGCCAAAGAAUCAAGGGUUGGUAGCGGUAGCGCUGUUAGGACCUUUAGUGACAGCCCAUCCCAUCCAGAGGAGUUUUAUUUUUCAUUGAGGAUAGAGCUUCCAUUAUUUCACUACAAUCUGUUGGUUUAAAGAAAAAUGUUUCAGGCACCUUAAUGUUGUGUAAGUAUGAGCGCGGAUCUCUAACAGACUGAGGCAAUAAUAUUGAUAGACCCAAAGCAACACCCUGGAAAAAAUGAUUGAGUGUUUCGGCCGACACCGUGCUAUUAGAAACAGAAGGGUUCCCACGUUCGCCUCGAUAUGAAUUUGGAGUUGUCCAGGGCAAACUUUCUUAUGGAGUGCAAACAACGAAGAUGUUUACCAGAAACUAAUAGACCCCUGCUAUACCAGGGUCUUCUCGUUUUUUCCCUAAUUGUCACCAUGGGGAAAGUUGACUCAAAAACAUCCACUAAAGUUGAAUGGAAACUCUCAAAAGGGUCACCAUUGUUAAUGAACAACCUUCCGCACUUUUUUUUUCUUGAGGUACACUUUUUUUCACUUAGAAGAAAGGAACAUAAUACGGCCUCAUGAUCAGACAACCCGGCAUUUACAAUUCUACAUGCAACCUGCGUUUCACAAAGCGUAGAGCAAACAUAAUCUAAAAGUGAUGCUGAAUUAGCAGUGAUGCGAGUAGGUUGGUCAACAUGAAAAGUUAAAUUAAAAGAUUUCAGCACUCUAUGUAUUGACAAAUGAUUGUUAGAGUUAUUGCAGUCUAAAAAAUUUACAUUAAUGUCACCUGUCAAUAUUAGUGAUGCAUUUACCGAUAUUUGGCUUAAAAUGUUAUAUAAUUUAUCAAUGAAACUUUGUAAAGGCCUAAAAUGUACAAAUUUAAUUCUUUAUAAUAAACAAUGCAAAAUUCAAAAGUUUUUUCUUCCAGGAGAUACUCAAACUUGGUUAUAUCAACAAAGUUAUAUCUUUCUAAAAACUUAUUCUCUAUUAAUAUCAAAGUUCCACCAUGAUUAUACUGAGUACGAGAAUAGAUGGAUGCGAGAGCAUAACUUUCUAUAAAAAAAAAUAUAGUAAAUAAUAUAGACGAGCAAAUCAUUCCUACCAAAGCUAGAAGUCAACUAAAGCAAUAUAACCCUAAGAAACCUCACAAGUGGGGUUAUAAGAACUUCGUUCUUACGUUACAUAAAGAAGGGAUAUUGCCUUUAGGGACAGUGAGAGCCAAUCGUAUACCAUGUACAUUACCAUCUGAAAAAGAUAUGAAGAAAACUGGUCGUGGCACAAUAAAAGAAAAAAAUAUCUCACAUAGAUAAUGUGGAUAUUGUUAACUGUUAACAGUGUCAUGGUAUGAUAAUAAAGUCGUGACCACCCUUUCUACCUAUGUUGGUUCUAAACCUCGUGGUGAGAAAAAAAUAUUUUUCAAAAAAGAAAACACUCAUAAAAUGAUUGAAUGCCCUAGAAGUGUUUUUGUUUACAAUAAUUAUAUGGGAGGCGUCGACCUUCUGGAUGCCAUGUUGGGAUUUUAUAGGAUUAAAAUUCGAUCAAAGAAAUGGUAUUUACGCAUAUUUUUUCACAUGUUGGAUUUGUGUUGCGUAAAUGCUUGGUUAUUGUGGAGACGCAGCAAUAAAGAAUUUGACCUACCCCUUAAGGACUUCAAGCUGGCCAUCGCUGAUUCUUUAUGCAAUGCUAAUAAAGAAUAUAAAAGAAGAGUAGGAAGACCUUCAGCAGAGGCUCAGACAUUGUAUGCUAUAAAAAAGAAGCAUGGACCUACCAAAGAAGUUCCUCAACAAGAGGUGCGUCUUGAUGGUAUUGACCAUUUACCAGAAUGGAGUGAACAACAAAGAUCAAGAUGCAAGUUUCCAUUGUGUGAAUAUAAAUCUUUUGUGUCUUGUACGAAAUGUAAAGUUUUCUUGUGUUUUAAUAAAGACCGAAAUUGUUUUUUGAGGUUCCACACUGAAUAAAUGAUAAUGUUGUUGCAUAUUGUUCCAUAUAUAAGCAAAUAUUAAACAAACAUUUUUUUGGUAUUUUUUACAUAAAUAGAGCGUAUUCCUCCAUCCCUGGGAAUUUUUUCGAAGAAAACAAAAAAUUCAUGCAGUAAAGGGUUAAACCAAAUCUGUAGGUAUAAUAUAUUCUUAUUUAUCCGACACCCUUUAGCUUUACUGAAGUGAUACUUAUUUUCAAAAGCUCCCUAAAAUGUAAAUUGUUACCUAUACAUAUAGCAUUAAGAAAUCAAAGAGAGAAGUUUAUCAAUGAUGUCGGCGUAAUGGCAAAACCUUUAAUGAAGAGUCUUGAAUUGCAGUUUCAGGGCUUAUGUCUAAUGGGCUUCAACAAAUAUAAUGGUAAAUAUACUAUUUGUAGAUAAGACACUUGUGUCUGUUUUUGGCUAAACAAUAAAAUCUAUGGCUUUAUAUAGUUAUUCGUAUCAUUGAGUUGUUCAGAUGGUCGAACAGGGAUUAACCCUUUCUUUACCGCACAUAAACAUCAUUACAUCGCCCCUAUUCCCAGACUUUUUGACAAGCCUUAAGCCCCAGUCACGUAUUAAUACGUCACACAGGGAACAACUUCUUAGUAUAAAACCUUUGUGUGAUAUACACCGAAACAGGGAGCGACACACUAUCCAACGUUGCACAUAUAUCUGGAAUCUCGUCUCUUUUUUUUCUCCCGAGUUUUAGAUUGUGAACAAAGAAUGCAUCUUCAAACUUUGUUGUUUGGUAUGAUAGCAGAAAAAUGACGCUCCGUAAGACGCUGUUGAUUUGGAGCAGUGGACUUUGUUGAUGCAGUUUUUGCUACAUUAUAUCUGAAAUAAAAUCGGUUGCAAACAAUAUGGAAAUUUCUAAAAUAAUAAUUUACCUCUCAAGAAGUUGUCGAGUAAGAUGCAGUUGAAAAUCUGCUAGUGGUAACUUUUCUGGAUGUUCAGUUAGAAUCAUGCGCGGUUGUUUAAAACACAUAGAUCCAAAAUGUGAAACAAGAGCUUCUUGUACCAUUUUAAAGUUUUUCUGACGCAUUCUGUAGAACUUCAUCAUAUGAGUUCUAUGAAGUGCUCCCAUAUUUUAGUUAUAAUAAUAUAGGCCCAUAUUCUGUUUUUCUGUCUUUUUUAUUUAACUGUUUCAUUUUAUUUUUGUGGAACAUGUCAACAUGGUAACGUCCCUACGAUCCUUCCAUCGGAUGGCUAAAAUAUUUUCGCUAGCCUUAGAUGUUGUCUGACCCUUGUCCAAUCUCCCUGUUAGAUCCGGCAUAUGCUUUCUGUUUGUCCUAACUGUAUCACAUGUGUUUUAUUUUCAAAUAAAUAGGUAGAAGGAGCUGGUGAAUACCAAUUACCAGUAUAGUUCAAAUAAGAUUGCAUUAAUGUUGUUACAACUGACCCUGAUAUGCCAAGAUUGAGACGAUUUUGAGUCUGUAUAUACGAUACAAUUUAAAACGUACCCCGUCUCACAAUCACACAAAAGGAACAGUUUUAUGCUAAAACUUUUUAUGCCGUUUCAUUCAUAUAAACUGCUUGAAUAACAGGCGUCCUUUAAAAAGCAUUCAACUCUCAUCGAUUACCAAAUUCUGGAACGGAACAAAAUUGUGGGCAAACCUAGUUUUAAUUUUGUCGAAAAUCCCCCUAUCUUUGUGGAAAGAGUCGCCUUUAGUUUAUUGGGCAUUGUCUGCAAAAUGAAGGAUGCGUAAUAUUAUUUGAUAUCUGUUUCUAGAUAUCACUUCCAAAAUAUCAGAGUGUAUAGUAGUUCAUCGGUAGUUUUCCCCAUAAUAUGUAUUUCUAGCUGUGGUAAUAAAUAACUAUGGUAUGUAUUUCUUAAGCAUCCAGUAAAACUGAUCAAGUUGUAUUUCUCAGCAAAAAAACUAUAUUGCUGAGUCUCCCACAUAUUUUACUAUUGUGUAUAUCCUACUUUUGAGUGCUGGUGAAUCACCAAAACUUUUACAGAGCCAUCUUGGAUUUGGUUACUAAAAGGGUAAAUACAAUUUUCUGCAUUUUGUCUACUAACUUUACAAUCCAACCACAGAUAUAAAACAAAAAAAAAAUAAUUAAAAAAAAAACUGGUACUUUUUCUUGCUUAGUGGGUAUACAAUGUUAUCAAACUAUUUAUAU
Molecule: long non-coding RNA, 6823 nt
Organism: Anthonomus grandis grandis
Lineage: Eukaryota; Metazoa; Arthropoda; Insecta; Coleoptera; Curculionidae
Exons: 4
Source: RefSeq, a predicted model, not a curated record